Molecule: RNA transcript, 6598 nt
Organism: Trachemys scripta elegans
Lineage: Eukaryota; Metazoa; Chordata; Testudines; Emydidae
Gene: ASB15
Gene name: ankyrin repeat and SOCS box containing 15
Exons: 11
Source: RefSeq, a predicted model, not a curated record
AAGAUGAAGGCCGCAUGCGCCUAGCCGCGCCUGAGAGCGAGGCUGGGGGAGUUCUGUGGCUGAGUGCGCGUGCGUAUGCGCUCAACCUUUCAUAUAAGAUGAUGGAAGGAAAUGAGGAUUCUAUUGAAGACCAUCUCACUGCUUAUGCAAUUCAGCUUAGUAUUCAAGAAUCAAUUGAAGCCAGCCAACCAACAACUUCCCAUUACCAUGAAAGAUUUGUACCACCCAGUGAUCAAAAUAGGAAACUUAUAACAGCCAUAAGACAAGGCCAAGUAUUUGAUCUUCAGAACUAUGUGAAACAUAAGUAUGCUUUGGAUGAAGCUGAUGAAAGAGGUUGGUUUCCACUUCAUGAGGCUGCAGCUCAGCCAAUUCAGCAAAUACUUGAAAUCAUUCUGGAUGCAUCUUAUAAAUCAAUGUGGGAAUACAAAACAUGUGAUGGAGAAACACCGUUAACUUUGGCAGCAAAAGCUGGUUUUGUGGAAAAUGUAAGAACAUUAUUGGAAAAGGGUGUUUGGCCUAAUACCACAAACAAUAAAGGAGAAACUCCUCUUCUCAUUGCUGUGAGACGGGGCUCUUACGAAAUGGUAUUGGCUCUGAUUAAAUACAACUGUCGUAUCCACCAGCCGUGUGUAAAACGCUGGUCAGCAAUGCAUGAAGCUGCAAAACAAGGCUGCAAAGAGAUUGUUUCUCUGCUUCUGAAGAAUGGAGGAAAUGUGCACCUGAAAGAUGGUUAUGGGGUAACGCCAUUAGGAGUUGCUGCUGAAUAUGGACACUGUGAUGUGCUGGAGCAUCUUAUUCAUAAAGGUGGUGAUGUUCAUGCUUUAGCAGAUGAUGGUGCAUCAGUACUGUUUGAAGCAGCUGGAGGAGGUAAUCCAGACUGUAUAGCUCUUCUUUUGGAAUAUGGAGGAAGUGGUAAUGUGCCUAAUAGGGCAGGACAGCUCCCUGUACACAAAGCAGCCUAUGAAGGACAUUAUCUGUCAUUGAAAUAUCUAAUUCCUGUUACAUCCAAGACUGCAAUCCAGAGAAGUGGAUUAAGCCCCAUUCACUCAGCAGCAGAUGGCCAGAAUGUGCAGUGUCUAGAACUCCUCAUUGAAAACGAUUUUGAUGUCAAUACUCUCCUGGCUGAACACAUUUCUGAAAACUACGAUGAUGAAAGGAAAACGGCACUCUAUUUUGCUGUUUCUAACAAUGACAUUCUCUGCACAGAAGUGUUACUCAAAGCUGGUGCAGACCCAAACAAGGAUCCUCUAAAUUGUCUUCUUGUAGCAGUGAGAGCUGGUAACCAUGAAAUCGUACGAUUGCUUCUAUCAUAUGGAGCAAAUGUCAAUUGCUACUUCAUGCUCGUGAAUGACACCCAUUUCCCCAGUGCCAUUCAGUACGCUUUGAAUGAUGAGGUAAUGCUAAGGCUGUUGUUGAAUCAUGGAUAUAAUGCAGAGAGGUGUUUUGAUUGCAUGCAUGGCGACAUCUUUGGAAGUUCUUUUGUGUGGUCACUUCCAGAAGAGGAGGUAUUACCAGGAUGGACAUCUUGUGUAAUAAAAGAUACUCCAUUCUGUGCCUUUAUUACAGUUCCUUGGUUGAAACAUUUAGUUGGACAUGUGAUUCGCAUUUUGAUAGACUAUAUGGAUUAUGUUCCUUUGUGCUCAAAACUAAAGUGUGUCCUAGAAGCACAGAAAGAAUGGCCAGAGAUACAACAGAUAUUAGAGAAUCCUAGCCCAUUAAAACAUUUGUGCCGCCUGAAAAUACGUCAACUGAUGGGACUAAGGAGACUACGGAGACAAGCAUCAAUGGCGAAGCUUCCUCUUCCACCAGUUCUAAAGGACUAUAUCCUAUAUAAAGAAUAUGAUCUUUAUGGAAAGGGGCUAAAUUUAGCCUAGAUUUAAAACAGCCAUUUAAAACUUGUAAAUUAAUUCUUUAGAUUUUUUUGCUAGAUUAAGAAUUAUUUAGUAUUGUUAUAUGUACUCAAAACAUUUGAUAUUUGCUGUAAAUAGGCCUUUUAUGGGAACCUGUUAAAAAAAAAUGUGGUCUGUAAAACUCAAUUUGUUUUGUCUGUUUUUACUUAACAUUGUGUCUUGAUAGUCUAAGAGCAUGGAGAAGGAGAUGAUUGUCAUUGUGCAACCCAAAACCUCCAGGAUUGGAUUUUAGAUGUAAAGAAGUCAAACACAGCAAUCAUCCUUUAAAUCAUACUGUAAAGCUUCAGGGGAAAGAUAUUAUGGCUUAGCCUUCUAUGGCUUUGGUAUUCUUUGGCAACAAUUGUGCAUGUCAGUGAAGUUCACUGUUAAGUCUGACAGCUACCCAAAAUAUUGCAAGCCCAGAGUUGUGCCUUUUGCUCAAAAGCCUCUGGUAGAAAUCGAUUUGGACUGUUUAGUGAACAUUGGAGUCUUGUCACCAGUUUCACACAGUGAGUGGGCUACAGCCAUCAUACCAAUGAUCAAGAAGGAUGGCUCAGUCUGAAUUUGUGGUGAUUUCAAAGUGACAUUGAAUCCAGUUUUAUGUGCAGACCAGGUUGACCACUACCUUGUAUUGAAGAUUUGUUUGCUAAUCUUAGUGGUGGACAGUGUUUCAAUAAAUUGGAUUUGCUCAAUGCAUAUCUACAAAUGGAGAUUGAUCUGGCAUCUCAUAAAUAUAUCUCAAUCAACAUGCAAAAAGGCUUAUUUUGUUACAACAGUUUGCCUUUUGGUACCCGUAGGCACCUGCCCUGUUCCAGAAAACCAUGGAUGAGAUUGUGAAGGGACUGAAUGGAGUUCAAAGUGCUAUUUGGAUGAAAUCCUUGUUACAGGAAAGGAUCAAGAGGAUCAUUGUCAGAAUUUGGAUGCUGUCUUGUAAGGUUUGGAAGACCAUGGACUGAGAAUACAUCGAGACAACUGUGAGUUUUUCACACCUUCACUUGGAUACCUUGGACAUAUAAUUGAUGUCAAAGGCUUAAGGAAAUUGCCAGAAAAAGAGAAGGCAGUUCUUCAAGCACCCCUGCCAGAGAAUGUGUCAUGGUUACACUCAUUCUUAGGACUACUUAACUCUUAUGGUAAAUGUCUGACUAAUCUGGCAACAGUAUUGGCCUUACAUGACCUGUUACAAGCAAAGAAAAAAUGGAAAUGGACUGAAGAGUGUGAGCAUGCAUUUAAAUUAGCUAAGAAAUUGUUGAUGUGAGCGAAAGUUCUUAUGGACUUUGAUGUUUUGUAGCCACUGCUACUGGCUUGUGAUGCUUCACAGUAUGAAGUGGGUGCAAUUCUUUCCCACUUUCUUCCUGAUGGCAUGGAGAAACCAAUUGCCUUCACUUCACAAACAACUCAUUAUACCUGAGAAGAAAUAUGUGUAAAUAGAGCGAGAAUUUCUCAGCAUUAUCUUCAGAAUUCAGAAGUUCCAUGCCUAUCUGUAUGAUAGACAUUUUACCUUGCUGAUGGAUCAAUGGCCAUUACUUUCAAUUUUUGGAUGGAAACAGAAUUCUGUCAUUAGCUGCUGCUCAUAUGCAACAAUGGGCAUUGCUACUUUCAGCUCUUUCCUAUACUCUUCAAUUCAGUAAAGGAACUCAGCAUGGCAAUGCUGAUGGGCUGUGAUGACUGCCAUGCCUGCAUUGCCAUCAACUCAAAGAAACUUCAGACAAAAUGUUUUUUCUCAAUUUGAUGGAUAGGUUACCCAUCAUUGGCACAGAUAUCAACAAAGAAACCACUAAGGAUGAUAUGCCUUCUCUUGUGAAGGAAGUGGUACUACAAGGUAGUGUUGGAUCAAAAAAACUCCCAGUGUGCACAAUUCUUGUCACAUCAAUGUGAAUUGUCUGUGAAUCACGGUUGCAUAUAAUGAAGAGUGCAAGUGAUCAUUCCAAGAUCACUCCAAUCUCUGGUUUUGGAAGCUCUUCAAAAGAACAUUUUGGCAUUGUGUAGAUAAAGGCCAUAGCCCGGAGUCAUGUCUAUGGCCGGGGAUUGACAAAGAUAUUGAGAGAAAGGCAAAGUGCUGUAUUAUGUGUCAACAAAUUCAACAUAAUCCUGGACCAUCUUAUCUACGCCCUUGGUCAUGGCCUCAGAUUCCUUGGACAUGUAUUCACAUGGACUUUGCCAGACCUUUGAAAGGUUAUAUGGUUUGGGGUUGUAGUCAACACCUAUUUGAAAUGGCCAGAAAUUUUCAGGAUGACUUCUACUACAGUUACCAAGACCAUUAGACAUAUUAGUACCUUGUUUAGCUAAUUUGGUUUACUGUUACAGUUGGUGAGUAACAAUGGACCUCAAUUCUGUUCUGAAAAAUUUCAAGGUUCCUAGCUUCAAAUGAAAUUCAGCACAAACAUUCUGUUCCACUCAGCUAAAAAUGGACUAGCAGAACAUUUAGCAUUGUACAAACACUUAAGCAUGCCUUAAGAGCCAACUAGUUACUAGUCUAUUUUGAGUCAUCAACAGAAACUGGACAGAAACAGAAAUUUGUUUUGCUUUUUGCAGGAACACAACACGUUACUACCCAGGAGUCACCUGCAACUCUUUUCUUGAAGAAGUCUUUGCAUACCUGUUGGAACCUGCUCCGUCCUGAUGUUGUCUCACAUAUAACCAAAUCCCAAGUUAUGCAAACUAAUUGAUGACGUGAGACUCAUCAUUGUGCUUUUCAAGUAGGAUAUUUAAUGUAGACUCGCAACUAUGACCGUGGAGUGAAAUAGGUACUUGGAGAACUUGUAAAAUGCACAGGACCUCUUUUGUUUGUGGUAAAACUAUCUGAUAGUAUUUUAUGGAAAUAACAUAUGGACCAGUUGUAAUCUUGACAAGUACCAGAGUCCAGGGAUGUUCCAGUAGGACUUUCUGUUCCUCAGAUCAAACCUCCUUCUGUUAAAACCUCCUAAUAUUGAUGACUUGGUGAAAGAAACGUUGGUAUUCGAUCCAAUUGAUUUCUUACCCCAACUGUUCCUGUUCUUCAGGGAACUGCCGCACCACCAUUACCAUGUUAUCCCAAGAGAGUGAGAAAACCAGUUGUGUGCCUGAAUUUAUAUGUUGUUCAGUUAGUGAGUUGCUAUUCCAGGGCAGAAUAAUCCUUUGCAAUUUACGAGUCUGCAGAAGACCACCCACAACUUUUGUUAGGUUAUAUAGUUUUUGUUAGCCAUGUAAAUGACAAUGUAUAUAUAUUUGGAAAGCUUUUUUAAAGUAGGGUGGAGGAAUGUGAUGUCCUAUCCUUUUAAAUGUUUCAGCACUCACCCUUCCUCAGUACAAAGCCUCACUGUCAUGUUGGUUUCAGUUUUACUGCCAGAAGAACAAUAAUCUUUCCACAGCAGACAGCUGUGUUUCCAUUAGUUCCCUCUGUCUAUAUCCUUCUCUGCUGGGUCCAAGUAUAACAAAACCAUUUGGAACAUCGUCCCAAGAAUUAUGGUGUAUUCUUCAACAUUGACAAUUUUUAAAUAAGGUUGAACUUUUUUUCUAAAACAGAUACUGUUGUUCAAACAGCAGUCAAAUCAGGGAAGUUCUAUGGCCUGUGUUCUGUAGGAGGUCAGACUAGAUGAUGGACAGUUAAGUAGAGAAUAGCUUUUUAGCACCUGGCUGACUAGAUGAUCAUAGUAGCUCCUUCUGGUUUUAUAAUCUAUGAAUUGUUGGAGCCCAAGCUCCUAAACUUCUAGGCUACCCUGCAGAGCUGAGAGAGAGCCUGGAAGUGCCAGGUCCCAAUCUCCUUGCUCAACCAGGGCUUUCAGGCUCCUAGUUCCCCCCCAUAACGUCCUAUACCCAUGUUCGCCACUUUUAUAAGGUUAUGAUAUAUUUGUACAAAGUAUGCCUUGUGAGGUAUCAUUAGAAAACUCAUAAUUUGCUGAAUAUCAUUACCCAAUUGAAAUUUUUGUAACAUCAUUGCAUGUAAGAUUAUGAGAUUUUGCUAUAUGAUUGUUACUGAAAUAUGUUGUAGUUCUGUGUAAUGCACACAAACCAUUUUCUCAGAGACAAAGGUACACUAGCAUGCCAACCAGGUGCUAAAAAGCUAUUCUCUACUUAAUUGUCCAUUCACCAGCACGGGGGGAGUGUAAACAAGAAAUGUACAUUGCAUUGCAGGAAUGUUUCAAACCGCAUGUACACAGAGGACUGUUUGUCUACACUCUGGCGGGGGUAAUUCUCAAAGAAAGGAGGAGGGUAUAAAAUAAGAGACAGGGACUUCCACAUCACCUCUCCUCCUUCUGUCUAGGGAACAAGGCUGGGACUAAAGACUAUGCCGGUGUUUCCCUGUGUAUAAUUCUUGAAUGGCUGAGAGAGCAUUCAUGGUCAUGUGGCUGGGAGUGAUUUUACAUGCUAGUGGCUGUAUGUGAGCAGGCCAGAUGUGGCUGUUCUGGCAGCAAAGCAGUUUUAAAGGCACCCCAGGCUAUAGAGUUAAGGGGAUGCCUCUAUUCUAUAGUCCAGCUUGUACCCUAGGGAAUGUCACACACCCCAACCCUCCUGGCUGACAAGGAGCUGAGAAACUGGAAACACUGGGAGCACCAGCUCCCAAGUUCCCAGGCUUGGCACCCUGGAUUUCUAGUGCUUCCAGGGACCACAGCUCUAGGGCAGCCAGCUAGUGGACUAUCUCAGAUAGGGAACCCUAGUGUUUCCAGUAUCAGAGGGGUAGCCAUGUUAGUCUGAAUCUGUAAAAAGCAACAGAGGGUCCUGUGGCACCUUUA